ACAAACGCGAAGAACGGGAGCUAGUAAAGCGAAUUUCUUGUCCAGAGAGCUGCGGGUAGGUGCGACGCAGUCAGGAAAUGCUCGAAUCUCACCCGGGAGCGGCAAGGUUGAAAACGUUCAGUAGACCUUGACGGAUCGUCCCACGUCAUCGGGACAGCGAGGUGGAUUCUCUUUUAAAAAAGAGGGGAUCAACGAGAGUGGUACCGCGGCAGCGAAAAGCCUGUCGUCUCUUGU
RNAcentral lists this non-coding RNA (234 nucleotides) under Brevibacillus brevis. RNAcentral's name for it is "T-box sequence". It matches the Rfam family "T-box leader". Rfam says of the family: Uncharged tRNA acts as the effector for transcription antitermination of genes in the T-box leader family. T-boxes are found upstream of many aminoacyl-tRNA synthetase genes and some amino acid biosynthetic genes usually in Gram-positive bacteria. The record is from RNAcentral. Lineage: Bacteria; Bacillati; Bacillota; Bacilli; Caryophanales; Paenibacillaceae.